The submitters of this non-coding RNA (193 nucleotides) gave its source as unclassified sequences. The record is from Rfam.
AGUAAGGACGCUUACGUCGGGUGUGACUGAAUAAACUUACUGGCAUAUAGCUGGUUAAGGUGAUGAGACACAGGUGGUGCUGCUGUCCGCAGGGGCAGAACCGAUGACCAAUCGGGUCUCAGGCAGAGGAGUAAUUCUAAACUGUAGAAAUGCCCUUCUCUUGUUGGUAUACAGGAAUCCAACCACCCUCUUU